This 417-nucleotide ribosomal RNA is filed under the name uncultured bacterium. Its description in RNAcentral is "partial 16S ribosomal RNA". It matches the Rfam family "Bacterial small subunit ribosomal RNA", at positions 360 to 774 of the family's 1533-position model. The record is from RNAcentral.
AAUAUUGCUCAAUUGGCGGGAGCCUGAACCAGCCAUGCCGCGUGCGGGACGAUGGCCCUAUGGGUCGUAUACCGCUUUUAUACGGGAACAACCGCACUUACGUGUAUCUGUCUGAGUGUACCGUCGGACUACGGAUCGGCUAACUCCGUGCCAGCAGCCGCGGUAAUACGGAGGAUCCGAGCGUUACCCGAAUUUAUCGGGUUUAAAGGGUGCGUAGGCGGCAUUUUAAGUCAGGUGUGAAAUACAGCAGCUCAACCGUUGCAGUGCCUUUGAUACUGAAGUGCUUGAAUGUGAUCGAAGGAGGCGGAACGGAACAAGUAGCGGUGAAAUGCAUAGAUAUGUCCCAGAACCCCGAUUGCGAAGGCAGCUUCCUAGAACAUAAUUGACGCUGAUGCACGAAAGCGUGGGGAUCGAACA